RNAcentral lists this transfer RNA (76 nucleotides) under Clostridium sp. BNL1100. RNAcentral describes it as "tRNA-Pro (CGG) (tRNA-Pro-CGG-1-1)". It matches the Rfam family "tRNA". From Rfam's summary of the family: Transfer RNA (tRNA) molecules are approximately 80 nucleotides in length. Their secondary structure includes four short double-helical elements and three loops (D, anti-codon, and T loops). Lineage: Bacteria; Bacillati; Bacillota; Clostridia; Eubacteriales; Clostridiaceae. RNAcentral also lists the same sequence under 1 other name. The record is from RNAcentral.
CGGGGUGUGGCUCAGUUGGUAGAGCGCGACGUUCGGGACGUUGAGGCCGCUGGUUCAAGUCCAGUCACUCCGACCA